UAGGGAAUCUUCGGCAAUGGGGGGAACCCUGACCGAGCAACGCCGCGUGAGUGAAGAAGGUUUUCGGAUCGUAAAGCUCUGUUGUUAAGGAAGAACGAGUGUGAGAAUGGAAAGUUCAUACUGUGACGGUACUUAACCAGAAAGGGACGGCUAACUACGUGCCAGCAGCCGCGGUAAUACGUAGGUCCCGAGCGUUGUCCGGAUUUAUUGGGCGUAAAGCGAGCGCAGGCGGUUAGAUAAGUCUGAAGUUAAAGGCAGUGGCUCAACCAUUGUAGGUUUUGGAAACUGUUUAACUUGAGUGCAGAAGGGGAGAGUGGAAUUCCAUGUGUGGCGGUGAAUGGGUUAGAUAUCUGGCGGACCACCGGUGAGGAAAGCGGCGCUCUGGUCUGUAAAUGACGCUGAGGCUCGAAGGCGUGGGAGCGAACAGG
RNAcentral lists this ribosomal RNA (428 nucleotides) under Bacteroidota bacterium. RNAcentral's name for it is "Bacteroidetes bacterium partial 16S ribosomal RNA". It matches the Rfam family "Bacterial small subunit ribosomal RNA", at positions 355 to 776 of the family's 1533-position model. The record is from RNAcentral. Lineage: Bacteria; Pseudomonadati; Bacteroidota.